Syngnathus acus (greater pipefish) is the source of this 766-nucleotide long non-coding RNA. RefSeq lists it as uncharacterized. The transcript is spliced from 2 exons. The record is from RefSeq and is a predicted model, not a curated record. Lineage: Eukaryota; Metazoa; Chordata; Actinopteri; Syngnathiformes; Syngnathidae.
UGCCUUUCAGGCAAGUCGUCCGUAAUUUGUUCACUGUUCACACUCUUAUUUUGUAAAUGAUGCUUUAUUUUGGUAGAAGAGAUGUAAAUCAGGAAGUGUCUGUGCCUCAUUUGAUGUGCGCGAGGGGAGGGAGUUGUGUAGUUGAGGAAGGAGAAGCUAGAGACCACAUUAUUACAUGCCCACCGAGAAAAAUUCGAAAGAAACUCCAACAGAGGCAACUCUUUUUUCACUCUGUUAUUGGUAGCAAGAUAUCCAAAUAAAGCUACACAACGACCGAAGGACGCCUUGCGUCAUCAGUUAAGAGUUAGUUCGCUGUCUAGCUUGGACAAAGCUAACAUGCGUCUUAGCGAGGACAGUACAAGCAGAUUAACACUUUUGCUGUUCACGAUGGGUAUUCUUGCAACCCUCUGGAAAAAUGUUCAAACUGGAAUUGGGUUUGAGUUUUCUGCACUGUUUUUGCAGAAGUGACGUCAUGCGUGCUCUCAUGGUAGCUUGUUGCCUUACUGCGCCGUGACCAAACGGUAUUAUUUUGCUGUAAUGGAUUCUACAUCUGCUGAGAAGAGACUGCCAUCUAGCUUGCCCCCAAAAACCCACAGUUUCUCCAAGCGAGGAGGGGUAAAAAAAUGAAGGCAAUGCACGCAAACAAAGGAGUGUGCAAUUUCACUUCUAGGCCGCAGGUGGCAGUAGCGAUUAGAAACUCAAAAUCUUGCAGAAUGCAGAAGCUUUAAUGAAUGAAACUGCAAAUUACAUCACGUGCAAAAUAUAA